AAUCUUGGACAAUGGGCGCAAGCCUGAUCCAGCCAUGCCGCGUGAGUGAUGAAGGCCCUAGGGUCGUAAAGCUCUUUCGCCAGGGAUGAUAAUGACAGUACCUGGUAAAGAAACCCCCGGCUAACUCCGUGCCAGCAGCCGCGGUAAUACGGGAGGGGGUUAGCGUUGUUCGGAAUUACUGGGGCGUAAAGCGCGCGUAGGCGGACUGGAAAGUUGGGGUGAAAUCCCCGGGGCUCAACCCGGAACUGCCUCCAAAACUCCCAGUCUUGAGUUCGAGAGAGGUGAGUGGAAUUCCGAGUGUAGAGGUGAAAUUCGUAGAUAUUCGGAGGAACACCAGUGGCGAAGGCGGCUCACUGGCUCGAUACUGACGCUGAGGUGCGAAAGUGUGGGGAGCAAACAGGAUUAGAUACCCUGGUAG
Molecule: ribosomal RNA, 418 nt
Filed under: uncultured bacterium
Lineage: Bacteria
Description: bacterial SSU rRNA
Rfam family: Bacterial small subunit ribosomal RNA
Source: RNAcentral